This 253-nucleotide ribosomal RNA is filed under the name uncultured bacterium. RNAcentral's name for it is "partial 16S ribosomal RNA". It matches the Rfam family "Bacterial small subunit ribosomal RNA", at positions 524 to 776 of the family's 1533-position model. The record is from RNAcentral.
UACGGAGGGUGCGAACGUUGCUCGGAAUCAUUGGGCGUAAAGCGCACGUAGGCUGCGAAGAAAGUUGGGUGUGAAAACCCAGGGCUUAACCCUGGGCUUGCAGUGGAUACGGGCAGACUAGAGGCAGGUAGGGGAGAAUGGAAUUCCCGGUGUAGCGGUGAAAUGCGCAGAUAUCGGGAGGAACACCGGUGGCGAAGGCGGUCCGCUGGCCCUCUACUGACGCUGAGGCGCGAAAGCCAGGGGAGCAAACGGG